UACGUAGGGUGCGAGCGUUAAUCGGAAUUACUGGGCGUAAAGCGUGCGCAGGCGGUUUUGUAAGGCAGAUGUGAAAGCCCCGGGCUCAACCUGGGAAUGGCAUUUGGGACUGCAAGGCUGGAGUGUGGCAGAGGAGACUGGAAUUCCUGGUGUAGCAGUGAAAUGCGUAGAUAUCGGGAGGAACACCACUGGCGAAGGCAGCUCGCUGGGACGUGACUGACGCUGAGGCGCGAAAGCGUGGGGAGCAAACAGG
Molecule: ribosomal RNA, 253 nt
Filed under: uncultured bacterium
Lineage: Bacteria
Description: partial 16S ribosomal RNA
Rfam family: Bacterial small subunit ribosomal RNA
Source: RNAcentral